GAUCCUGGCUCAGGAUGAACGCUAGCUACAGGCUUAACACAUGCAAGUCGAGGGGCGAGCAUGGUCUUAGCUUGCUAAGGCCGAUGGCGACCGGCGCACGGUGAGUAACGCGUAUCCAACCUGCCCUUACACUCUUGGACAGCCUUCUGAAAGGGAGAUUAAUACAAGAUGUUAUCAUGAGUAAGCAUUUUCGCAUGAUUAAAGGUUUACCGGUGUAGAUGGGAGU
RNAcentral lists this ribosomal RNA (226 nucleotides) under uncultured bacterium. RNAcentral describes it as "partial 16S ribosomal RNA". It matches the Rfam family "Bacterial small subunit ribosomal RNA", at positions 15 to 232 of the family's 1533-position model. The record is from RNAcentral.